RNAcentral lists this unclassified non-coding RNA (521 nucleotides) under Borreliella sp. SCW-30a. Its description in RNAcentral is "Borrelia sp. SCW-30a partial 16S-23S ribosomal RNA intergenic spacer". Lineage: Bacteria; Pseudomonadati; Spirochaetota; Spirochaetia; Spirochaetales; Borreliaceae. The record is from RNAcentral.
UUUCGAUAAAAAAAGAAGUUGUUUUUCUAGAGCACACAGAUUAAACGGUGCUAUAUAUUCCACCAGUCCAUUUUAUAAACGAGAGGCACAUGUUUUUAGAUUUUUGUUAGAAAAAGAUAUGUGUUUCCACWKGUGAGAUGUGAAGGGGGGAGUAAGCAUUGCAGAGAGCCGUCACCCUUGUUAUCUUUGCCAGUAUGUAAGGAUAUUCUGGACAAGACUGUUAGUUAUAAGUUGGAGGAAAGCCAAGUUUGUGCUAAAUCACCAUGUUUCUUGUGUCCUAGAUUAUAAGCUUGCCGUAAUAGCCUAAAAAAGCUAAUCAAAAUGCCAUAAAUCAGAUUUCAGUUUGAAUUUGCCUGGUAUUCAAUGUUAUGAAGUUGGAAUCGCUAGUAAUUAGUAUAUGCUUUAACAUAGAAAUUUAAUAAAAUUUUGAUGUUUUUAUUAAUUAUAGUUUAAAUUAGUACUGCAGUAUUUAAAACGAUAAAAUACAUUGGGACCAGGAUGAGUGAACAUCCGACUCAGUU